Molecule: ribosomal RNA, 463 nt
Filed under: uncultured bacterium
Lineage: Bacteria
Description: partial 16S ribosomal RNA
Rfam family: Bacterial small subunit ribosomal RNA
Source: RNAcentral
GACGAACGCUGGCGGCGUGCUUAACACAUGCAAGUCGAACGGAAAGGCCUUUUCGGAGGUACUCGAGUGGCGAACGGGUGAGUAACACGUGGGUGAUCUGCCCUGCACUCUGGGAUAAGCCUGGGAAACUGGGUCUAAUACCGGAUAGGACCGCACUUUAGUGUGUGUGGUGGCACGUUUUUUCGGUGUAGGAUGAGCCCGCGGCCUAUCAGCUUGUUGGUGGGGUAAUGGCCUACCAAGGCGGCGACGGGUAGCCAGACUGAGAGGUUGGUCGGCCACAUUGGGACUGAGACACGGCCCAGACUCCGACGGGAGGCAGCAGUGGGGAAGAUUGCACAAUGGGCGCAAGCCUGAUGCAGCGACGGCGCGUGGGGGAUGACGGCCUUCGGGUUGUAAACGCCUUUCGCCAGGGACGAAGCGGUUUGUGACGGUACCUGGAGAAGAAGCACCGGCUAACUACGUG